GACGAACGCUGGCGGCGUGCUUAACACAUGCAAGUCGAACGGAAAGGCCCUGCUUUUGUGGGGUGCUCGAGUGGCGAACGGGUGAGUAACACGUGAGUAACCUGCCCUUGACUUUGGGAUAACUUCAGGAAACUGGGGCUAAUACCGGAUAGGAGCUCCUGCUGCAUGGUGGGGGUUGGAAAGUUUCGGCGGUUGGGGAUGGACUCGCGGCUUAUCAGCUUGUUGGUGGGGUAGUGGCUUACCAAGGCUUUGACGGGUAGCCGGCCUGAGAGGGUGACCGGCCACAUUGGGACUGAGAUACGGCCCAGACUCCUACGGGAGGCAGCAGUGGGGAAUAUUGCACAAUGGGCGGAAGCCUGGUGCAGCAACGCCGCGUGCGGGAUGACGGCCUUCGGGUUGUAAACCGCUUUCGCCUGUGACGAAGCGUGAGUGACGGUAAUGGGUAAAGAAGCACCGGCUAACUACGUGCCAGCAGCCGCGGUGAUACGUAGGGUGCGAGCGUUGUCCGGAUUUAUUGGGCGUAAAGGGCUCGUAGGUGGUUGAUCGCGUCGGAAGUGUAAUCUUGGGGCUUAACCCUGAGCGUGCUUUCGAUACGGGUUGACUUGAGGAAGGUAGGGGAGAAUGGAAUUCCUGGUGGAGCGGUGGAAUGCGCAGAUAUCAGGAGGAACACCAGUGGCGAAGGCGGUUCUCUGGGCCUUUCCUGACGCUGAGGAGCGAAAGCGUGGGGAGCGAACAGGCUUAGAUACCCUGGUAGUCCACGCUGUAAACGGUGGGUACUAGGUGUGGGGUCCAUUCCACGGGUUCCGUGCCGUAGCUAACGCUUUAAGUACCCCGCCUGGGGAGUACGGCCGCAAGGCUAAAACUCAAAGGAAUUGACGGGGCCCCGCACAAGCGGCGGAGCAUGCGGAUUAAUUCGAUGCAACGCGUAGAACCUUACCUGGGUUUGACAUGGAUCGGGAGCGCUCAGAGAUGGGUGUGCCUCUUUUGGGGUCGGUUCACAGGUGGUGCAUGGCUGUCGUCAGCUCGUGUCGUGAGAUGUUGGGUUAAGUCCCGCAACGAGCGCAACCCUUGUUCACUGUUGCCAGCACGUUAUGGUGGGGACUCAGUGGAGACCGCCGGGGUCAACUCGGAGGAAGGUGGGGAUGACGUCAAGUCAUCAAGCCCCUUAUGUCCAGGGCUUCACGCAUGCUACAAUGGCUGGUACAGAGAGUGGCGAGCCUGUGAGGGUGAGCGAAUCUCGGAAAGCCGGUCUCAGUUCGGAUUGGGGUCUGCAACUCGACCUCAUGAAGUCGGAGUCGCUAGUAAUCGCAGAUCAGCAACGCUGCGGUGAAUACGUUCCCGGG
Molecule: ribosomal RNA, 1343 nt
Filed under: uncultured bacterium
Lineage: Bacteria
Description: 16S ribosomal RNA
Rfam family: Bacterial small subunit ribosomal RNA
Source: RNAcentral